AACACAGGAAAGAUGCUAAAAGAAACAAAAGAAUCUGAUCUAAACUCCAACACCUCCUGAAGAAUCUAGCUGGGCAGAGAAAAAGAACACAGAAGGUGGCUGCAGUCCUAACCCUAGAAUUGACAUCGCCAGUGAUGUCUGAAGCUCCAGCGGCAAAA
Haliotis rubra (blacklip abalone) is the source of this 158-nucleotide long non-coding RNA. RefSeq lists it as uncharacterized. The record is from RefSeq and is a predicted model, not a curated record. Lineage: Eukaryota; Metazoa; Mollusca; Gastropoda; Lepetellida; Haliotidae. The transcript has 2 exons.